UGGCUAUUUAAUUUAUUAUUAUUUUACUUUAUUCCUGGCGUGAUGUUUAAUUACUCUUCAACACAGUACUCUUUACUGUUGAAAGUUGAAAACUCUCACUGCUUAAUUAACAUGCUAACAAUUUUUAUUUUUUAUUAUUAUUUGGAUUCUUCACAGUCAUUGCAAUAAUUAUGCAGAAGACUUUUUGGACACAUACAUCGAUCGAAUUCAUGGAGAGAGCAUAAUAUCCAAAGGGAACAGCAACAUGAAUACCAAAGAAGAUUAAAGAUUUGAAGCCUUGAUAGAGAUUUUUCAAUAAUGAGAGAUCUCAAUCUUGAAUGAAGAUCGUACUAUUGAUGAUAGGUGGCAUAAUGUCAGAUCAUAAACGAGUGAAAGGUAUUUAUUAUUACCACAUUUAUAUUUGCAUAUAUAAAUCAAAGUAUAAAUAUGUUGUAGAAAUAAUCCAAAGCAUGAUCAUAAAUUUGAUUUGAAAUGAAACCAUUUUU
Molecule: non-coding RNA, 485 nt
Organism: Arachis ipaensis
Lineage: Eukaryota; Viridiplantae; Streptophyta; Magnoliopsida; Fabales; Fabaceae
Source: RefSeq, a predicted model, not a curated record